UUGAACGCUGGCGGCAUGCUUUACACAUGCAAGUCGAACGGUAACAGGGAGCUUGCUCCGCUGACGAGCGGCGAACGGGUGAGUAACACGUGGGUGAUCUGCCCUGCACUCUGGGAUAAGCCUGGGAAACUGGGUCUAAUACUGGAUAUGACCUGCUCUCGCAUGGGGGUGGGUGGAAAGAUUUAUCGGUGCAGGAUGGGCCCGCGGCCUAUCAGCUUGUUGGUGGGGUAAUGGCCUACCAAGGCGACGACGGGUAGCCGACCUGAGAGGGUGACCGGCCACACUGGGACUGAGACACGGCCCAGACUCCUACGGGAGGCAGCAGUGGGGAAUAUUGCACAAUGGGCGGAAGCCUGAUGCAGUGACGCCGCGUGAGGGAUGAAGGCCUUCGGGUUGUAAACCUCUUUCAGCAGGGACGAAGCGUGAGUGACGGUACCUGCAGAAGAAGCACCGGCUAACUACGU
This 464-nucleotide ribosomal RNA is filed under the name uncultured bacterium. Its description in RNAcentral is "bacterial SSU rRNA". It matches the Rfam family "Bacterial small subunit ribosomal RNA", at positions 29 to 506 of the family's 1533-position model. The record is from RNAcentral.